This 76-nucleotide transfer RNA is filed under the name Pseudomonas syringae pv. pisi. RNAcentral describes it as "tRNA-Phe". It matches the Rfam family "tRNA". Rfam says of the family: Transfer RNA (tRNA) molecules are approximately 80 nucleotides in length. Their secondary structure includes four short double-helical elements and three loops (D, anti-codon, and T loops). Lineage: Bacteria; Pseudomonadati; Pseudomonadota; Gammaproteobacteria; Pseudomonadales; Pseudomonadaceae. The record is from RNAcentral.
GGCCGGGUAGCCUGGUUGGCAGAGCAGAAGAUUGAAAAUCCUUGUGUCGGUGGUUCGAUUCCGCCCCGGGCCACCA